Molecule: ribosomal RNA, 441 nt
Filed under: uncultured bacterium
Lineage: Bacteria
Description: partial 16S ribosomal RNA
Rfam family: Bacterial small subunit ribosomal RNA
Source: RNAcentral
CCUACGGGUGGCAGCAGUCGGGAAUAUUGCGCAAUGGAGGAAACUCUGACGCAGUGACGCCGCGUAUAGGAAGAAGUUUUUUGGAAUGUAAACUAUUGUCGUUAGGGAAGAGAAAGGACAGUACCUAAGGAGGAAGCUCCGGCUAACUACGUGCCAGCAGCCGCAGUAAUACGUAGGGAGCGAGCGUUAUCCGGAAUUAUUGGGUGUAAAGGGUGCGUAGACGGGAAAACAAGUGAGUUGUGAAAUCCCUCGGCUUAACUGAGGAACUGCAACUAAAACUAUUGUUCUUGAGUGCAGGGGAGGUAGGUGGAAUUCGUAGUGUAGCGGUGAAAUGCGUAGAUAUGAGGAAGAACACCGAUGGCGAAGGCAACUUGCUGGACUGUAACUGACGUUGAGGCACGAAAGUGUGGGGAGCAAACAGGAUUAGAUACCCGGGUAGUC